CAUAGAGCAGGGGAAGAUUUGGAGUAUUCGCUUCGGAUUCUAGGGAUUUUGCCUGAGGCAAAUCAGAAGCAUUUUGUGAGUCGCGGGAAGAUGAAGCAUCGGAAAAAACCUGAAAGGAUUUAGGCUUUGAAGGAAGAGUAGAGGAUGAAACCGGCUUUGAGCCCAAAACAAUACGAGGAGGAGGAAAUGGAGAAGAAUAGGGUGCAUCAUGAAUAGAAGGGUGAGCGUUAUGCAAAUCGUAGGCACGAGAGAACUCAGCAGCGUUCCUUAACAAUCGAACCAAAGGCCUCGCUUCUCGAGAAACAGCUGCAUGAAAUACUUCAGAAGCCUCUUUCCAACGUUGCAUUCUAAUGAGCAAAGAACCAUAUUCUUCGUAGAACAAAGCGAGUUCAAGGCCUAUGCCUUUCGAUGCCAAUUGGUAAAAUUGCUUGGCCGCCUGUUGCAAUUCAUCAGGAGUUUCGUAUGAUUGUUUAAUUUUCGCAAGCUGUAUGAGAAGAUGACGAACAUCAUUAAGCGCGAAGCGACAUCUUUCUAAGUACUGAAUAGCAUCAUCAAGCAUUUUGUUGACCGUUU
Molecule: non-coding RNA, 573 nt
Organism: Schizosaccharomyces pombe (fission yeast)
Lineage: Eukaryota; Fungi; Ascomycota; Schizosaccharomycetes; Schizosaccharomycetales; Schizosaccharomycetaceae
Source: the annotation of a GenBank genome assembly